Triticum aestivum (bread wheat) is the source of this 4449-nucleotide long non-coding RNA. RefSeq lists it as uncharacterized. The transcript has 10 exons. The record is from RefSeq and is a predicted model, not a curated record. Lineage: Eukaryota; Viridiplantae; Streptophyta; Magnoliopsida; Poales; Poaceae.
UGUGUCGUCGCCGCCAUCUUCCACGGGUCCGUCUUCAGAGCAGAUAUUGAGGCUUCUACCUUGUCAGGCCACUCUGCCAUCGACGCCACCAUGACGCCAGACAACUGCCUCCACCUGCGCGAGUCCAUCACCGCGCAUCGGGCGCCGAGUCUCCACUGCACCACGCCGCUGAGAUCCGCCGUCAUCAAUGUGUAGGAUGAAGCACCGCUCCACCAAAAAAGGCGCCCACUGGUCCCUUGAUCCUCGGCUGCUGUCACCGACCCCAUACUGAGCCCGCCACCACACUGCCCUCAAGGCGACGCCUUCAAGAAGGUCACGACGUCAAGGAUGCCGCCGCCGCCGCCCAUCGGAGUUAGGUUUUCACCCGAGAAGCAAGGUGGUGGGGUGUGGAAGGGCAGACCUCGACCGGCGUCUCCAUGAAGAAAUCGGCGCCCGCAGACGUCGUCAUCGCCGUGGCCAGCUGGAGCCGACCAGGGGUUUCCCCUAAUCUGGAUCCCGACCACCAGAAUCACCCGCAACCCAGAGGCAGGCCAGACGCCUGCACAGCCAGGGACCGUCGAGGGUGAAACGCAUCGAGCAGGGGAAGAUGGCCAGCAGCCAGAUCUGACGCCGCCAGCCACCAGGGCAGCCAUGCGAGGUCCCAGCCCACCGAAGAUCCGCCGGCCACCCGACCAGAUCGCCGGCACCGCGCCUACCCCACUGCUCACCGCAGGUGACAAGGGGCCUCGCCGGGGGCCGCCGCCCAGAUCCAAGACCCUCCGAUGUGAACCAGAGCAGCGCAUGCCCCGCCGCCGUAGUCCCUGGCUGCGCCAUGGGCCUUGCCCGGCGGUAGCCUCGUGCGGCGGCGAGGGGAAGAGGGGAGGGAGAGGGGCUACUCCGGCGCGGGGGGAGUUGCCCCCGAGACGCCCACUAGGGGCGGCGCGGGGGAGGGGAGGCUGAGGCGCGGGGGAGGGCAUAUUUCCGGUAUGAUGACCAAACAUUAUACAUAGUUUAUAUAUUUUAUUUGUAUUCAUUUGUGAAGUUUACUCAGAACAUCACUCAAGCAAUAUUUUGUCAGCUACUAGUCUAACCAGGUGCUAUAGCUACCGAGCACUGCAUCAAGUGAAACUAGUCCUGCGUAUCAUUUCCCGCACACACACAAACACACACAUAUAAAAGGAAGUCUGUUAUAUAUGGAAAGGAAAAUAAAUGCAUAUGGAAAAUGACUUUUUAGAAAAGUCAUGCCACUCGAAACUAAGUUCAGUUGUACCAAAAGUGUAAUCAGUGAACAGGUAUAGAAUUUCCUCUGUUCUACCUAAAAUUUUGUUACCAAUUUAUCAAUGUUGGGGAUAUCGCUUAUCGAGAACUUAUCGGUCGACCCAUGAUACGGGGUAAAUCGGCCAGUUUAUCGGCAUAUCGGCUGGUUUAUCAUCAUAUUGGUUGAUUUAUCGGCCGAUAUAUCUUAUCGGUCAGACACUGGUAAGCGAUAAAUCGGCCGAUUUAUCGGAAUAUCGAAAGAUAUCUUGAACAGUGCAAUUUAUACAGAUGAAUCUCUGGACCUUGAGUGGAAUAUGAGAUACGAGAUAAUCAAGGCAAUUUGCAGUGGUUUGUGUUUCCUUCAGGAAGAAUACCGUAUCCUUCAUCUGGACCUUAAGCCAGAAAAUAUAUUGAUGGACUUUAUGAUGAUGCCGAAAAUCGUGGAUUUUGGUUUGUCGAGUCUCUUUGGUGUGCAGCAAAUGCGAAUCUUCACUGAUAAUCCUGCAGGAAACAUGAAUAUAUGGCACCAGAAUACUUACUUCAAGGUGUAAUCUCAAGCAAGGCAGAUAUCUUCAGUCUGGGUGUUAUAAUCACAGAGAUUAUCACAGGUGUUAUUUUGCUAGAAAGUUUUAAAGGACGGCUAACAGAAACUCAGUUAAUCCGACGACCGUUCUUGACAGACUUCCGUGACAGCCAACUUGCAGUUCGGACUGGGAUGCAGAGAAGAGCCAACCAAACAACAUUUGAGGGUUACAACGUUAGCAGGCAAUUGUAAAGGAUGUCACCAAAAUCUCUUGUGUUUUGAUGCUCACCUACCCCGGAUAUUAUUGGCAGGAUCUGUCAUACAUCACAUCACAUGCUGUGGAAUCUCAUCUACCAUGGCUAGAUACUGUGGCUGGACCGGUCUCUCUAACCUACCGUCAUUAGUGUGCGGACCCCAGGCUGAGUGUCAAUGUCAAGUGUACUCCGUUUGGUCUAGAUCUAAAUUGGUAGCCUUUAAAGGCAGAUCGACAGUCUGAUAGUCUUCCUGCGCCUUGAUAUUCUACUUGAACAGUACAUGUUUUCUGAGCAGCUAUGAGUCGUCGAGAAAUGGCUAUCUUACGUGAUGAACUGUAGAACAAGCUACAAGAUCCAAAAGCAACACCGAUGUUUCUUCCUCUAGAAUUUGAAAGGCAUCACAUGUGAUUUUUCCACUGAAUCGGACCUUGGCAGAGGUGGAUAUGGAGUGGUUUACAAGAUGAAUCUCUGGACCUUGAGUGGAAUAUGAGAUACGAGAUAAUCAAGGCAAUUUGCAGUGGUUUGUGUUUCCUUCAGGAAGAAUACCGUAUCCUUCAUCUGGACCUUAAGCCAGAAAAUAUAUUGAUGGACUUUAUGAUGAUGCCGAAAAUCGCGGAUUUUGGUUUGUCGAGUCUCUUUGGUGUGCAGCAAAUGCGAAUCUUCACUGAUAAUCCUGCAGGAAACAUGAAUAUAUGGCACCAGAAUACUUACUUCAAGGUGUAAUCUCAAGCAAGGCAGAUAUCUUCAGUCUGGGUGUUAUAAUCACAGAGAUUAUCACAGGUGCCUUCGACUUGCCGAACUGGGCCACGAUGUUGCCAUCUUGCAUGUUGCAUUCUAGCCCAUUUCCUUGAGGCGCUUCUUCCUCCUAAGCUGGCAGACACCCCUCGCGACGGCUGCGAUGUGGUGGCAAUGGGACGCUGCCGUACACGUCCCUCCUCCACCACCCAGUGCGGAGCUGCUUCCACCACCGUGACGCGGUACUGCGAGCUUCUUCGGCGGCACUGACUAGAGGUAGUUUUCAUUUCCCUUUUUCACCCACCGUUGCAAGCCUCUUCUUCAAGUGAUCCCAUUUCCACAUGUUUACUAGUUGUCAAUGCUAAUGGUUCAACUUUCUAUUUCACCGGUGAAGUUUGAAUUGGGUAAGGUGGUCGAGAUGGGUAUUUUUACCCACGGGAAUUACCUGCACCCUGCCAGGUACGCGUAUGAGAACAGUUUGAAACCCAAGGUGCGGGUGUGGGUACGGGUAUGCGUAUGAGAACAGUUUGAAAGCCAAGGUGCGGGUACGGAUUUGGGUAAAAAUAUCGAGACGGGCAUGGGUUUGGGCCACCAUUACCCGCACCCGAACCCGGCGUUUGCCAUGUGGACAAGUGGUCAAUGGAAUCAUUGUGUCGGUCCAUUGAACAUUCAUUGCAGAAAUGAAGAUGAUUGAGAAGCCGAAAGGGUAGUUGGAUGAACAAUAGAUGCUCUGCAUACAGACCCCGGGCCAGGCAAGACUAUUUCAUGGACCAUGGGGUUACAACGUUAGCAGGCAAUUGUAAAGGAUGUCACCAAAAUCUCUUGUGUUUUGAUGCUCACCUACCCCGGAUAUUAUUGGCAGGAUCUGUCAUACAUCACAUCACAUGCUGUGGAAUCUCAUCUACCAUGGCUAGAUACUGUGGCUGGACCGGUCUCUCUAACCUACCGUCAUUAGUGUGCGGACCCCAGGCUGAGUGUCAAUGUCAAGUGUACUCCGUUUGGUCUAGAUCUAAAUUGGUAGCCUUUAAAGGCAGAUCGACAGUCUGAUAGUCUUCCUGCGCCUUGAUAUUCUACUUGAACAGUACAUGUUUUCUGAGCAGCUAUGAGUCGUCGAGAAAUGGCUAUCUUACGUGAUGAACUGUAGAACAAGCUACAAGAUCCAAAAGCAACACCGAUGUUUCUUCCUCUAGAAUUUGAAAGGCAUCACAUGUGAUUUUUCCACUGAAUCGGACCUUGGCAGAGGUGGAUAUGGAGUGGUUUACAAGGUAUGACCAUUUUGUUUACUCCACUUUUCAAAUAUUAUUAACGGCAAUGAAUCAAAGACACUUGUAUAUACUAUGAAGAGAGGUUUAACUGAUAAACACAGGGAGUUCUUAAGGGUGGGAAAAUCAUUGUCAUGAAGAAGCUUUUUGAAAUACAUCUGCUGGACGAUAAAACGUUCGAGGAUGAAGUCAGACAUCUUAUAGCGAUCAGGCACCAAAAUCUAGUACAACUUAUUGGUUACUGUGCUGAAUCAAGUUGGGAAUUGGUAGAGCAGAGUGGAAAGCAUGUUUUUGCUGAAAUACUGAAAAGGUUGCUCUGCUUUGAGUAUGUAUGCAACAAAAGCCUUGACAAGUAUAUUUCCGAUAUGAUUUUUCUAGAAAAGGAGGAUGACCCCCGGCCUCUGCAUCUAGGAGAUGCAUACGGCCACUUUAUUGAUUA